RNAcentral lists this ribosomal RNA (670 nucleotides) under uncultured Alphaproteobacteria bacterium. RNAcentral describes it as "bacterial SSU rRNA". It matches the Rfam family "Bacterial small subunit ribosomal RNA", at positions 62 to 778 of the family's 1533-position model. Lineage: Bacteria; Pseudomonadati; Pseudomonadota; Alphaproteobacteria. The record is from RNAcentral.
UCGAGCGCGCCCUUCGGGGUGAGCGGCGGACGGGUUAGUAACGCGUGGGAACGUGCCCAGAUCUAAGGAAUAGCCACUGGAAACGGUGAGUAAUACCUUAUACGCCCUUCGGGGGAAAGAUUUAUCGGAUUUGGAUCGGCCCGCGUUAGAUUAGGUAGUUGGUGGGGUAAUGGCCUACCAAGCCUACGAUCUAUAGCUGGUUUUAGAGGAUGAUCAGCAACACUGGGACUGAGACACGGCCCAGACUCCUACGGGAGGCAGCAGUGGGGAAUCUUGGACAAUGGGGGCAACCCUGAUCCAGCCAUGCCGCGUGAGUGAUGAAGGCCUUAGGGUCGUAAAGCUCUUUCGCCUGUGAUGAUAAUGACAGUAGCAGGUAAAGAAACCCCGGCUAACUCCGUGCCAGCAGCCGCGGUAAUACGGAGGGGGUUAGCGUUGUUCGGAGUUACUGGGCGUAAAGCGCGCGUAGGCGGAUUAGUCAGUUAGAGGUGAAAUCCCGGGGCUCAACCCCGGAACUGCCUUUAAUACUGCUAGUCUUGAGUUCGAGAGAGGUGAGUGGAAUUCCGAGUGUAGAGGUGAAAUUCGUAGAUAUUCGGAGGAACACCAGUGGCGAAGGCGGCUCACUGGCUCGAUACUGACGCUGAGGUGCGAAAGUGUGGGGAGCAAACAGGAU